Gavialis gangeticus (Gharial) is the source of this 1211-nucleotide long non-coding RNA. RefSeq lists it as uncharacterized. The transcript is spliced from 2 exons. NCBI's taxonomy places the organism in Eukaryota, Metazoa, Chordata, Crocodylia, Gavialidae. The record is from RefSeq and is a predicted model, not a curated record.
CUCCGUCCAGGGUGCCCUCCCCCUCGAGCCUACGACCCUCGCGGGGCGCCGGGCUGGCCCACAAACCUCGCGCGGGACGGGGGCGCCUGGCUGGGGGGCCGCUCUGAGCCCUUCUUCGCCACCGAAAACCCGCUCCGGUAUCAUUCUGUAGGCGAAAAGAGAGCCACGACCCAGAGGUGGCCCUUUCCUGGGCCGCCUGGGCGGGGUGAGGAGCCCGCCCGGCUCUGUGGAGGGGCACAGGCCGCGGUCGUGACUCCUUCCCCGUCCUCAGGCUGUGACGAGGGCAGGGUGCUCAGCAUUUGGAACACCACACAACCAAUGUUGCUAUUUCCUUAGAGACAAAUUUUGGAAAACUGCUUCCUCCAUUUGAAAAUGCCUUGUAAAUAAUUCAGUUGCCUGCCUUCUAAAUGUUUAAUAUUUUUGUUCCAAUUGUAUGUAAAUCUAUAUUGUUUUAUUAUUAAUUAUUUGUAUUACCAGUUUCAUAUGGAGGCUGCACUCAAGAGCAGGGUCCAAUUGGUCUGAGUAUUAGGCAAAUGGAGUAAAAGAUGAAAAAUAUUCUUUAAGUUAGGGAGUUUACAGUUUUGAUUCAUGUGCUUGAUUGUGCAAGGUGUAAAAAGCUUCCUACAAUGUCAUGAGUAAACUAAUUAUAAAUUACUUUCAACAAGUUUUGGAGUCACUCAGCACCUAUGCCCCUAAAGCAUAAUAAUUCACAAAGGUAUUCUGUAAUCUACUUUACUCAGAUGCUAUCAUUCAGUAUUGUGACAAACAGUACCUUUUUAUUCAUGAUCAUCUGAACUAUGUCUUUAUAGUGUAUAGAUCAAACAAUUCCAAUCCAAUUUACCAUUGCUUUUUUUUUCUCAGGUAAAUUGCAGUUCAAUUUUAUGGAGUUCAGGGCAGUAUAUCAUAGUAAAGAAAGGUCUAUUUCUUUUAAGAUUCUGAAUAUUGAAUAGUAAUUAAGCAGCUAGUAACUCAGUAUUCUCAGGGGGGGUAAACAGACACUGAGAUUCACAUUUAUUAUGCUAAGUAGGCUUUUAAGUGGUGAUAGUGAUGGGAAUCCCCAAGCAUAUGUUAUCUGCUCUUUAUUUUAACCAUUUAAUGCUUUUCUUCCUGACAGGCUGCUGCCAUGAUUUGAUUGUAACCUGUGAGACCAAGCUGUACUGCUUGGUACAAGGAAUCGAUCAACAUAAUUUUGUAAAUUUGCCAGAAGAAUG